RNAcentral lists this ribosomal RNA (520 nucleotides) under uncultured Pleosporales. RNAcentral's name for it is "eukaryotic LSU rRNA". The stretch from base 155 to 308 matches the Rfam family "5.8S ribosomal RNA". The record is from RNAcentral. Lineage: Eukaryota; Fungi; Ascomycota; Dothideomycetes; Pleosporales.
GGAGGAUCAUUAUCGUAGGGCUUCGGCCCUGUCGAGAUAGAACCCUUGCCUUUUUGAGUACCUUUCGUUUCCUCGGCAGGCUCGCCUGCCAAUGGGGACCACAAAAAACACUUUGCAGUACCUGUAACAGUCUGAACAAACAAACAAAAAUUAAAACUUUCAACAACGGAUCUCUUGGUUCUGGCAUCGAUGAAGAACGCAGCGAAAUGCGAUAAGUAGUGUGAAUUGCAGAAUUCAGUGAAUCAUCGAAUCUUUGAACGCACAUUGCGCCCUUUGGUAUUCCUUAGGGCAUGCCUGUUCGAGCGUCAUUUAAACCUUCAAGCUAAGCUUGGUGUUGGGUGACUGUCCGCUUCACGGCGGACUCGCCUCAAAAUUAUUGGCGGCCGGUACAUUGGCUUCGAGCGCAGCAGAAACGCGAACUCGGGCCCGUCGUAUUGGCUCCCAGAAGCUAUCUUCACAAUUUUGACCUCGGAUCAGGUAGGGAUACCCGCUGAACUUAAGCAUAUCAAUAAGCGGAGCA